GGCGAAACGCCGAUGUCGAUCCCGCGCCGCCGCGCGCCGAUCGACUGCCGCUGCGCCCGUGCGGGCGCCUCACGCAAGCCGCGAACGCCGGCGCCGCCGCAAGACGAACCGCGGCCGGCGCGAGCCCGUCGUUCGCGCGAACGGAGCCUAGGCUCCCCCCUGCUCCACACGUCGCCACGCCACGCAGGCCGCAUAGCCCGUGGGCGCGUCGAGCCAUGCGGCGUCGAACGCCGCCACGCCGCUCGCGGGCGACGUCGGCUCGUCGAUGCCGAUCGUGGGCGCGAAACCCUCGCCCGACGGCGCGCCGCCCGCGAGCACCGAAAACGCGGUCAAGCCGCCGCCGAUCCCGGUGCCGAGCGCUUUCAGCAGCGCCUCCUUCGCCGCCCACACGCGAUAGCACGCCGAUUCGCGUUCGUCCACGGGCAGCGCGUCGAUCGCCGCCGCAUCCGCGGGCGCGAACACCGCGCGGCCGAGCGAGCUCCAGUCGACGCCCGCGCGCCGCGCCUCGAUGUCGACGCCGACGCGCGCCGCGCGGCUCCAUGCGAUCAGCGCAUGCGCGCCCGAAUGCGACGCGUUGAAGUCGAGCGUCGGCGCGAGCGCCGCCUGUUCGGGCGCGAGCCGCGGACGCCCCGACGCGUCGGCGCCGAGCCGCAGCUCGGCGGGCGGCAAGCCGAGCGUCGCGCCGAUCACGCCGCGCACGACCGCGCGCGUCGCGGCGCUGCGCAGCCUGUCUUCCACGCGCACGAAGCGCCGCGCGCGCUCGCGCUCGGCGUCGCUCAGCGAUGCCAGCGCGCGCGUGCGGUGCGCGGCGUCGAAAUCGAAAUCGAGCCGCACAAGCCGCACGCCGGCGCGUUGCGCCGCGGGCGGCGGCGACAGUUCGACGGCGCGAUACGCGUCAUCGGUCGGGAGCGGCAAGGCGGCUUCGGUCGGCAGGCGCAUCGGCGGCAACGCACGUCGUGCAGGCGGUGGAAAACGUUCGAUGGUAACGGAUCUUCGCGCGCGCCGAACGCAGCCGGCGGCGGCCGCCGCGCGUCUCGCGCCGCUCAGCGGGCGGCCGUCCGCCCGCUCGCCUCGUCGCGCGCCGCGCGCGCGGGCUCGGGCACGCACGGCUGCCGGUGAACCCGGCCCGGCGUCUCGGGCGCGAGCGCGCCCGUCUUCAGCCAGCCGAGCGCGAUCGGCCAGAACGUCUGCUCGAAGCGGCUGUGGAAGAACGCGAAAUGCCCGAUCGACGCCACACCGAUCUGCUCGGGCGCGAUCCGCAGAUGGGUGACCGCGCUGCGCAUGUAAUAGCCGAGCAGACGUUCGACCGCCUCGACGCUGCCGAACUCGUCGUCCGACAGGCCGAUCGCGAGCAUCGGCGCGGUGAGGCGCG
Molecule: ribosomal RNA, 1372 nt
Filed under: Burkholderia mallei JHU
Lineage: Bacteria; Pseudomonadati; Pseudomonadota; Betaproteobacteria; Burkholderiales; Burkholderiaceae
Also listed under: 1 other name
Description: 16S ribosomal RNA
Source: RNAcentral